Long non-coding RNA from Marmota monax (woodchuck), 2030 nucleotides. RefSeq lists it as uncharacterized. The record is from RefSeq and is a predicted model, not a curated record. The transcript has 3 exons. NCBI's taxonomy places the organism in Eukaryota, Metazoa, Chordata, Mammalia, Rodentia, Sciuridae.
CGCGGCCGCUCGCCCUCUCUCCUCCCGCCUCACACCACGAUUCCGUUCAGCCCCCUCGGUCCUUCCCGCGCGCCUCCCUCGCCAGCCCUCAGACAUUAAGAAAGUAUUUUUACAACUAAGACAUCAAAAGAAGUGAAGGUGCUGAGGAAUUCUUUGGCUUUAAAGGAUGAAUUCCAGGACAUAAGAGGACCUGACAACCAGAUUCCAGGGGUUAGGUGACGCUUGGCCCGAUGGAGUGGCUUUCCCAGGACAAGAAAACUCACUCGAUAUUAUCAACUUUCCGUGUGGACCCCUCUGUCGGAGCAGUUCUGUAAGUGAGAAGCGAUGGCGCCACUGGGCAUUUUACCUGCUUCUCCCCAGGCUCCUCUCCACGCACAGGCCCAGGUGAUCUGCAGGUGCCCUACAGCCACGCUGCUCUCUGUGUGAAGUCUCCAGCCUUCCUGUUGCUCAGCCUUCCAGCUCAACCCUGCCUCUGGACCUGUGUGGCUACGAUCUCCUGUCCUUAGAAAUUCGGGUCUCAGCUCCCAGGUCACCUCCUCAGAUGCCCUCGCUGACCACUAGGGCCCGACUCUCUCCCUGGGCUUCAGAUCCGCCUGCUUCAUUUGGCUCACGGCACUUACCAUUUCAUGAGUCAUAUGCAGUCUGCCUGCUGCGUGAGAUCAGGCACACGUCACUUGAGUUCACCUCUAUGGCCGAGUGCCUAGAACAGGGCCUCAUACAAAAAGAAAGGCUCAAGAGGCCCUAGGUAAAUGAGUGAAUGAAGGCUCAACCAGCCAACUAACCAGCCAGCCAAAAUUAAGACUGAAAAUGAACAGUCUUCUGCUUUUGUAUUCAGGUGGCUAUUUUAAAUUUUUUCCUGAAAACUACGUGGAAGAAAUGGUUGUUUACUCUGAGCAGUGAUCUGUGCAGUGAUUAGGUAACUUUGAUAUCUGUGCUAUUUUACUUCAUAAGGCCAAAGUCUAUUGCCAUGCAUUUCUAAAUACCAUAAUAAUGUUUCUUUUUAAUAUAUGGACUUGCUUCCACUGACUCCAGCGCUGUGGCAUCGUCUGUAUUAACAAGCAAAGCCACGGGGCCCGGGUUUACAAUGUAAGUUAGGGUUAGAGCAAUCCUGUCUUCAGAAUAACAGUAUGAGGUUCCUUGCUUAAUACACAGGGGGGAAUCCAUCAGAAGGGGGUGAUGCUGCAGUGUCUUGGUACCACGAUUCCAAGGGCUUUCCAGGUAUGUUCAGUAUGUAAUUCACAGCAGACUUGUGUCUGUCUUACGCCGACCCCAUUGCAGCUGCUAGGGAUCCCAGAUGGAGGAGACACUAUUGCUCAGCGACUAGGAAGAGCUGGUAGUGGUUCCAGAACCCACCUGCUCAUUGGCAUCUCAUGGCAUCCACCUCUGUCUAGGCCCUGUCCCAGGCCAUUGGAAUCAGAAUCUCGGAGCCUGGUGCCUACACAUCUGUCUCUGUGUCAUAAGCCCAAGUGCUGUGCACAGGCAGCCAGGGUUCUGACCCACUGGUCUACUGGAAGGGUGGCAAAGCCACAAAGCAGUGGACAGUGGCCAUAGCACAGCUGGCAGGUGUGAGCUCAGAAAUGGUGACAUUUCCCCUCAGUACAAGUGAUAACUCAGAAUUUUAAGGAUUAGAAAGGCUGGCUCCUGUGCAGUAGAUUAGUGUUGCACCUACUUACCACCCCAAGCUGAUAAGAAUGGUAGAUAUCAUUCAUUAAAUUCAUUAGUUUCCUUACCUGGGGCCAAAUGAAUGAUCUUAUUUUUCUACAUAAGCCAGGAACUGGAUGUUGUAUACUUGCUCAAAUAAAGAGUUUUUAUUAAAACAUAAUGUCUUGGGCUGGGGAUGUGGCUCAAGCGGUAGCGCGCUCGCCUGGCAGGCGCGGGGUGCUGGGUUCGAUCCUCAGCACCACAUAAAAAUAAAAUAAAGAUGUUGUGUCCGGGGCUAGGGAUGUGGCUCAAGCGGUAGCGCACUCACCUGGCAUGCAUGCGGCCCGGGUUCGAUCCUCAGCACCACAUACAAACAAAGAUGUUGUGUC